ACAGUUGCUCACAGGAAGCAGUGAGGUCUCUGCUUCAGAAAGAAACGGAAGUGGCAAAGAACAUACCUACAAGCAUGACUGUACCAUGGAAAUGAACUGAAAUCAACUGCAUGCUGAGUUCCUUCAUGCCUCAAUUCCUCCAUCUACAAAUUGCACCAUAGAUGGUCUAAAAUAAAACUGGAGAAAGACUGUUGCAUCAGCUGCUGUACUCCCACUUUUAAGAUGGGCAAGGAGAUGAAUAUGACCACCUGCAUUUGGAUAAAAAAACAUGGGAACAGCUGAUGUCUUUCCUAUUAGUAAAAGAAGACUGAGAGCAAAC
This is a long non-coding RNA of Gavialis gangeticus (Gharial), 319 nucleotides long. RefSeq lists it as uncharacterized. Lineage: Eukaryota; Metazoa; Chordata; Crocodylia; Gavialidae. The record is from RefSeq and is a predicted model, not a curated record. The transcript is spliced from 4 exons.